CGCUAACUUCCAAUCUUCUGGGACUACUCCUGUUAACAAUGAUUGGUUAAAUAAAUCUGUUAAUGGUUUUGCUAGUACACCACUAAGCUCUUUUAAUAGCUUUGGGUGUAUUCCAUCAGGUCCCAUUGACUUAUUUGUCUUUACUUUUGUCAGUUGAAAUAGAACCUCUUCCUCUGUAAACUCACGUGUAAUAAAUGACUCAUUUAUCCUUUUUCUCAACUGAGG
This 225-nucleotide long non-coding RNA is filed under the name Pelobates cultripes (western spadefoot toad). Lineage: Eukaryota; Metazoa; Chordata; Amphibia; Anura; Pelobatidae. The record is from RNAcentral.